GACGAACGCUGGCGGCGUGCUUAACACAUGCAAGUCGAACGGAAAGGCCCUGCUUUUGUGGGGUGCUCGAGUGGCGAACGGGUGAGUAACACGUGAGUAACCUGCCCUUGACUUUGGGAUAACUUCAGGAAACUGGGGCUAAUACCGGAUAGGAGCUCCUGCUGCAUGGUGGGGGUUGGAAAGUUUCGGCGGUUGGGGAUGGACUCGCGGCUUAUCAGCUUGUUGGUGGGGUAGUGGCUUACCAAGGCUUUGACGGGUAGCCGGCCUGAGAGGGUGACCGGCCACAUUGGGACUGAGAUACGGCCCAGACUCCUACGGGAGGCAGCAGUGGGGAAUAUUGCACAAUGGGCGGAAGCCUGAUGCAGCAACGCCGCGUGCGGGAUGACGGCCUUCGGGUUGUAAACCGCCUUCGCCUGUGACGAAGCGUGAGCGACGGUAAUGGGUAAAGAAGCACCGGCUAACUACGUG
Molecule: ribosomal RNA, 468 nt
Filed under: uncultured bacterium
Lineage: Bacteria
Description: partial 16S ribosomal RNA
Rfam family: Bacterial small subunit ribosomal RNA
Source: RNAcentral